GGCUCAGUGGUGUAGUGGUUAUCAUCCACCUGUCGGGUAAAUAUUCUUCCCAUUCUCUAUCAUAAAGAGACUUAACAAGGUGUGGUCCUGGGUUCAAAUCCCAGCUGAGCCC
Non-coding RNA from Rostrohypoxylon terebratum, 112 nucleotides. NCBI's taxonomy places the organism in Eukaryota, Fungi, Ascomycota, Sordariomycetes, Xylariales, Hypoxylaceae. The record is from the annotation of a GenBank genome assembly.